Molecule: ribosomal RNA, 432 nt
Filed under: Vibrio tapetis subsp. tapetis
Lineage: Bacteria; Pseudomonadati; Pseudomonadota; Gammaproteobacteria; Vibrionales; Vibrionaceae
Also listed under: 1 other name
Description: bacterial SSU rRNA
Rfam family: Bacterial small subunit ribosomal RNA
Source: RNAcentral
GCGGCAGGCCUAACACAUGCAAGUCGAGCGGAAACGAGAAGUAGCUUGCUACUUCGGCGUCGAGCGGCGGACGGGUGAGUAAUGCCUAGGAAAUUGCCCUGAUGUGGGGGAUAACCAUUGGAAACGAUGGCUAAUACCGCAUAAUGCCUUCGGGCCAAAGAGGGGGACCUUCGGGCCUCUCGCGUCAGGAUAUGCCUAGGUGGGAUUAGCUAGUUGGUGAGGUAAUGGCUCACCAAGGCGACGAUCCCUAGCUGGUCUGAGAGGAUGAUCAGCCACACUGGAACUGAGACACGGUCCAGACUCCUACGGGAGGCAGCAGUGGGGAAUAUUGCACAAUGGGCGCAAGCCUGAUGCAGCCAUGCCGCGUGUAUGAAGAAGGCCUUCGGGUUGUAAAGUACUUUCAGCAGUGAGGAAGGGGUGUACGUUAAUAGC